AUGGCGAAUCAGGAGGUUGUCGCGCUAGGCCAUCUUCCUCGCCAUCAACGCCCUGCUGCUCUCUCCCGUCCCUCCACCCUCCUCUUUUUCCUCCUGCCGCUAGGCACUAGAGGACCCGCCACGCCGACACCGCUGCUCCACCGCGAGGCUGCGACUAGUCUUUCCUCGUCUUCGUAUCCACAGGCGCCCCGCUGCUCUCUCCCGUCCCUGCAGGCUCCCCGCGUCAGAGCUUUGUCCUCGGCCGCGCACGCCGCCUCACCCUUGCUUGGCCCCGUCGCCGACUUCAGGCCCACCCUCUCGCCCUCCGGGGACUGGACCACCGCGGCAAGGACGACUAGGCCGGCAAGGUGGAGCACCAUGGAACCGAUGGUGAUGCCUUUCGGGCACCGGGCGCACGCUGCUCGUCCGCGACGGCGGCUGGCCGUGCCUGGCAGACGAGACCAUGGCUGCCAUGGCCGGCCCUCUAGGAUCGCGUUGCCGCUGAUGGCGGCGAGGCGACUCGAGGCUGCGGGGCUCCUCGCAUGCGGGAGGCGGGAGCGGUCACUCCGGGGCUGUGGCGCGUGCGCCACGGCUGUUGCUGCGGGCAUGGAGCGCGAACGGACGCAUGUGGCUGGGUGUGUGCGUGCGGGAUGA
This 633-nucleotide ribosomal RNA is filed under the name Triticum aestivum (bread wheat). Its description in RNAcentral is "partial small subunit ribosomal RNA". The record is from RNAcentral. Lineage: Eukaryota; Viridiplantae; Streptophyta; Magnoliopsida; Poales; Poaceae.